UACGUAGGGCGCAAGCGUUGUCCGGAAUUAUUGGGCGUAAAGAGCUCGUAGGCGGCUUGUCACGUCGGGUGUGAAAGACCGGGGCUUAACCCCGGUUCUGCAUUCGAUACGGGCUGGCUAGAGUGUGGUAGGGGAGAUCGGAAUUCCUGGUGUAGCGGUGAAAUGCGCAGAUAUCAGGAGGAACACCGGUGGCGAAGGCGGAUCUCUGGGCCAUUACUGACGCUGAGGAGCGAAAGCGUGGGGAGCGAACAGG
RNAcentral lists this ribosomal RNA (253 nucleotides) under uncultured bacterium. Its description in RNAcentral is "partial 16S ribosomal RNA". It matches the Rfam family "Bacterial small subunit ribosomal RNA", at positions 524 to 776 of the family's 1533-position model. The record is from RNAcentral.